This 691-nucleotide long non-coding RNA is filed under the name Vigna radiata. RNAcentral's name for it is "long non-coding RNA (VRAD_LNC005895)". The record is from RNAcentral. Lineage: Eukaryota; Viridiplantae; Streptophyta; Magnoliopsida; Fabales; Fabaceae.
AGCAAAAUGAAUGCACCGUUUCUCUUUCUCCAUUAAUCAGAGUGUGCAGCUUGCAAAGAAUCAGCUCCUCCUCCAAUUUCAAAUGCCAAUGAGAGUGUGUGCAGCUUGCUCCCCUUCCAGCCCUUCAAAAGUGUGUGCGUCGGCUCUCCAAAUUAAUCUACGUCCCAUGCCAUUCUCCCUUCUCAAUGAAAAUAAAACAACUAAAAUGUUCAAAGACCAGCUCCAGAAACGUUCCAGCACCAAGAAUGUUCCAGCCCCUAAAACUCUCAAAAAGAAAAUGAUGGCAGCCUCCUAUUUUCCUAGGAUCAUGUGUCCUCCAAUUGGGGUGGGGUACACCCUAAAAUCCUAGGUGCCAUGUGUUCAUUUUUAUAAUUGGGCUUAAGCUAUUCUACCAAAAUUAGCCCACAAUGCAAAAAGUUUGUCUAAAAACUUUAAACAAUUAAAUUUACAAUGUAACUAAAUUUAAAAUGACUAAAUUGGGAGUCUUGAAUUAUUUUGUCUCCUCUCAAUGCUCCAAAAUAUAUCUCCAAAAUUUUCCCUGCAAUUAAAAAUGCAAUUAAUUAGCUCAGAAAAUUCAAAUUAACUAAAAUAAGAAUUUCCGAUCAAAUUAAGCAUAAUUAGGAAAAAUGGGAAAAUACCGAACAUUUAAGCACAAUUCCCUGAUUAAUUCUAGCACAAUAAACUAAGUGAA